AACGAACGCUGGCGGCAUGCCUAACACAUGCAAGUCGAACGAGACCUUCGGGUCUAGUGGCGCACGGGUGCGUAACGCGUGGGAACCUGCCCUUAGGUUCGGAAUAACUCCCCGAAAGGGGUGCUAAUACCGGAUAAUUUCUUCGGACCAAAGAUUUAUCGACUUUGGAUGGGCCCGCGUUGGAUUAGCUAGUUGGUAGGGUAAAAGCCUACCAAGGCGACGAUCCAUAGCUGGUCUGAGAGGAUGAGCAGCCACACUGGGACUGAGACACGGCCCAGACUCCUACGGGAGGCAGCAGUGGGGAAUAGUGGACAAUGGGCGAAAGCCUAAUCCAGCAAUGCCGCGUGAGUGAUGAAGGCCUUAGGGUUGUAAAGCUCUUUUACCCGGGAUGAUAAUGACAGUACCGGGAGAAUAAGCUCCGGCUAACUCCGUG
Molecule: ribosomal RNA, 433 nt
Filed under: uncultured bacterium
Lineage: Bacteria
Description: partial 16S ribosomal RNA
Rfam family: Bacterial small subunit ribosomal RNA
Source: RNAcentral